This 270-nucleotide unclassified non-coding RNA is filed under the name uncultured fungus. RNAcentral describes it as "sequence contains 5.8S rRNA gene". The stretch from base 1 to 53 matches the Rfam family "5.8S ribosomal RNA", at positions 102 to 154 of the family's 154-position model. The record is from RNAcentral. Lineage: Eukaryota; Fungi.
GAACGCACAUUGCGCCCAUUGGUAUUCCUUUGGGCAUGUCUGUUUGAGCGUCAUUACAACACCUCAGCGCAAGCUGGUUUUGAGCCGUGAGGGUUCUCUUUCUGAGCCCUUCCGCUUUAAAGUUGUAAGCUCUGCUGACCUCCAGCUUGACCGGAAACAUAGUAAACCAUUGCUUGUUUAUGGAACGGUUGGGGGGUUUUCGGCCUGAACAAAAUCUUCAAUUUCUAAGGUUUGACCUCAGAUCAGACAAGGAUACCCGCUGAACUUAAG